RNAcentral lists this ribosomal RNA (2892 nucleotides) under Pseudomonas aeruginosa. RNAcentral's name for it is "23S ribosomal RNA". It matches the Rfam family "Bacterial large subunit ribosomal RNA". The record is from RNAcentral. Lineage: Bacteria; Pseudomonadati; Pseudomonadota; Gammaproteobacteria; Pseudomonadales; Pseudomonadaceae.
UCAAGUGAAGAAGCGCAUACGGUGGAUGCCUUGGCAGUCAGAGGCGAUGAAAGACGUGGUAGCCUGCGAUAAGCUUCGGGGAGUCGGCAAACAGACUUUGAUCCGGAGAUCUCUGAAUGGGGGAACCCACCUAGGAUAACCUAGGUAUCUUGUACUGAAUCCAUAGGUGCAAGAGGCGAACCAGGGGGAACUGGAAACAUCUAAGUACCCUGAGGAAAAGAAAUCAACCGAGAUUCCCUUAGUAGUGGCGAGCGAACGGGGAUUAGCCCUUAAGCUUCAUUGAUUUUAGCGGAACGCUCUGGAAAGUGCGGCCAUAGUGGGUGAUAGCCCUGUACGCGAAAGGAUCUUUGAAGUGAAAUCGAGUAGGACGGAGCACGAGAAACUUUGUCUGAACAUGGGGGGGACCAUCCUCCAAGGCUAAAUACUACUGACUGACCGAUAGUGAACCAGUACCGUGAGGGAAAGGCGAAAAGAACCCCGGAGAGGGGAGUGAAAUAGAACCUGAAACCGUAUGCGUACAAGCAGUGGGAGCCUACUUGUUAGGUGACUGCGUACCUUUUGUAUAAUGGGUCAGCGACUUAUAUUCAGUGGCGAGCUUAACCGAAUAGGGUAGGCGUAGCGAAAGCGAGUCUUAAUAGGGCGUUUAGUCGCUGGGUAUAGACCCGAAACCGGGCGAUCUAUCCAUGAGCAGGUUGAAGGUUAGGUAACACUGACUGGAGGACCGAACCCACUCCCGUUGAAAAGGUAGGGGAUGACUUGUGGAUCGGAGUGAAAGGCUAAUCAAGCUCGGAGAUAGCUGGUUCUCCUCGAAAGCUAUUUAGGUAGCGCCUCAUGUAUCACUCUGGGGGGUAGAGCACUGUUUCGGCUAGGGGGUCAUCCCGACUUACCAAACCGAUGCAAACUCCGAAUACCCAGAAGUGCCGAGCAUGGGAGACACACGGCGGGUGCUAACGUCCGUCGUGAAAAGGGAAACAACCCAGACCGCCAGCUAAGGUCCCAAAGUUGUGGUUAAGUGGUAAACGAUGUGGGAAGGCUUAGACAGCUAGGAGGUUGGCUUAGAAGCAGCCAUCCUUUAAAGAAAGCGUAAUAGCUCACUAGUCGAGUCGGCCUGCGCGGAAGAUGUAACGGGGCUCAAACCACACACCGAAGCUGCGGGUGUCACGUAAGUGACGCGGUAGAGGAGCGUUCUGUAAGCCUGUGAAGGUGAGUUGAGAAGCUUGCUGGAGGUAUCAGAAGUGCGAAUGCUGACAUGAGUAACGACAAUGGGUGUGAAAAACACCCACGCCGAAAGACCAAGGGUUCCUGCGCAACGUUAAUCGACGCAGGGUUAGUCGGUUCCUAAGGCGAGGCUGAAAAGCGUAGUCGAUGGGAAACAGGUUAAUAUUCCUGUACUUCUGGUUACUGCGAUGGAGGGACGGAGAAGGCUAGGCCAGCUUGGCGUUGGUUGUCCAAGUUUAAGGUGGUAGGCUGAAAUCUUAGGUAAAUCCGGGGUUUCAAGGCCGAGAGCUGAUGACGAGUCGUCUUUUAGAUGACGAAGUGGUUGAUGCCAUGCUUCCAAGAAAAGCUUCUAAGCUUCAGGUAACCAGGAACCGUACCCCAAACCGACACAGGUGGUCGGGUAGAGAAUACCAAGGCGCUUGAGAGAACUCGGGUGAAGGAACUAGGCAAAAUGGCACCGUAACUUCGGGAGAAGGUGCGCCGGCUAGGGUGAAGGAUUUACUCCGUAAGCUCUGGCUGGUCGAAGAUACCAGGCCGCUGCGACUGUUUAUUAAAAACACAGCACUCUGCAAACACGAAAGUGGACGUAUAGGGUGUGACGCCUGCCCGGUGCCGGAAGGUUAAUUGAUGGGGUUAGCGCAAGCGAAGCUCUUGAUCGAAGCCCCGGUAAACGGCGGCCGUAACUAUAACGGUCCUAAGGUAGCGAAAUUCCUUGUCGGGUAAGUUCCGACCUGCACGAAUGGCGUAACGAUGGCGGCGCUGUCUCCACCCGAGACUCAGUGAAAUUGAAAUCGCUGUGAAGAUGCAGUGUAUCCGCGGCUAGACGGAAAGACCCCGUGAACCUUUACUGUAGCUUUGCACUGGACUUUGAGCCUGCUUGUGUAGGAUAGGUGGGAGGCUUUGAAGCGUGGACGCCAGUUCGCGUGGAGCCAUCCUUGAAAUACCACCCUGGCAUGCUUGAGGUUCUAACUCUGGUCCGUGAUCCGGAUCGAGGACAGUGUAUGGUGGGCAGUUUGACUGGGGCGGUCUCCUCCUAAAGAGUAACGGAGGAGUACGAAGGUGCGCUCAGACCGGUCGGAAAUCGGUCGCAGAGUAUAAAGGCAAAAGCGCGCUUGACUGCGAGACAGACACGUCGAGCAGGUACGAAAGUAGGUCUUAGUGAUCCGGUGGUUCUGUAUGGAAGGGCCAUCGCUCAACGGAUAAAAGGUACUCCGGGGAUAACAGGCUGAUACCGCCCAAGAGUUCAUAUCGACGGCGGUGUUUGGCACCUCGAUGUCGGCUCAUCACAUCCUGGGGCUGAAGCCGGUCCCAAGGGUAUGGCUGUUCGCCAUUUAAAGUGGUACGCGAGCUGGGUUUAGAACGUCGUGAGACAGUUCGGUCCCUAUCUGCCGUGGACGUUUGAGAUUUGAGAGGGGCUGCUCCUAGUACGAGAGGACCGGAGUGGACGAACCUCUGGUGUUCCGGUUGUCACGCCAGUGGCAUUGCCGGGUAGCUAUGUUCGGAAAAGAUAACCGCUGAAAGCAUCUAAGCGGGAAACUUGCCUCAAGAUGAGAUCUCACUGGGAACUUGAUUCCCCUGAAGGGCCGUCGAAGACUACGACGUUGAUAGGCUGGGUGUGUAAGCGUUGUGAGGCGUUGAGCUAACCAGUACUAAUUGCCCGUGAGGCUUGACCAU